AGAGUUUGAUCCUGGCUCAGGAUGAACGCUGGCGGCGUGCUUAACACAUGCAAGUCGAACCCGGAAAUACUUUAUUGAAACUUCGGUGGAUUUAAUUUAUUUCUAGUGGCGGACGGGUGAGUAACGCGUGCUGUAACCUGCCUUAUACUGGGGGAUAACAGCCAGAAAUGACUGCUAAUACCGCAUAAGCGCACAGAACCGCAUGGUUCGGUGUGAAAAACUCCGGUGGUAUAAGAUGGACCCGCGUUGGAUUAGCUAGUUGGCAGGGUAGCGGCCUACCAAGGCGACGAUCCAUAGCCGGCCUGAGAGGGUGAACGGCCACAUUGGGACUGAGACACGGCCCAGACUCCUACGGGAGGCAGCAGUGGGGAAUAUUGCACAAUGGGGGAAACCCUGAUGCAGCGACGCCGCGUGAAGGAAGAAGUAUCUCGGUAUGUAAACUUCUAUCAGCAGGGAAGAUAAUGACGGUACCUGACUAAGAAGCCCCGGCUAACUUGGUGCCAGCAGCCGCGGU
This 514-nucleotide ribosomal RNA is filed under the name uncultured bacterium. Its description in RNAcentral is "bacterial SSU rRNA". It matches the Rfam family "Bacterial small subunit ribosomal RNA", at positions 8 to 521 of the family's 1533-position model. The record is from RNAcentral.